Molecule: ribosomal RNA, 1460 nt
Filed under: Enterobacteriaceae bacterium S29_ASV_15
Lineage: Bacteria; Pseudomonadati; Pseudomonadota; Gammaproteobacteria; Enterobacterales; Enterobacteriaceae
Description: partial 23S ribosomal RNA
Rfam family: Bacterial large subunit ribosomal RNA
Source: RNAcentral
AUUUAGGUAGCGCCUCGUGAACUCAUCUUCGGGGGUAGAGCACUGUUUCGGCUAGGGGGCCAUCCCGGCUUACCAACCCGAUGCAAACUACGAAUACCGAAGAAUGUUAUCACGGGAGACACACGGCGGGUGCUAACGUCCGUCGUGAAGAGGGAAACAACCCAGACCGCCAGCUAAGGUCCCAAAGUCAUGGUUAAGUGGGAAACGAUGUGGGAAGGCACAGACAGCCAGGAUGUUGGCUUAGAAGCAGCCAUCAUUUAAAGAAAGCGUAAUAGCUCACUGGUCGAGUCGGCCUGCGCGGAAGAUGUAACGGGGCUAAACCAUGCACCGAAGCUGCGGCAGCGACACUUAUGUGUUGUUGGGUAGGGGAGCGUUCUGUAAGCCGUUGAAGGUGUGCUGUGAGGCAUGCUGGAGGUAUCAGAAGUGCGAAUGCUGACAUAAGUAACGAUAAAGCGGGUGAAAAGCCCGCUCGCCGGAAGACCAAGGGUUCCUGUCCAACGUUAAUCGGGGCAGGGUGAGUCGACCCCUAAGGCGAGGCCGAAAGGCGUAGUCGAUGGGAAACAGGUUAAUAUUCCUGUACUUGGUGUUACUGCGAAGGGGGGACGGAGAAGGCUAUGUCAGCCGGGCGACGGUUGUCCCGGUUUAAGCAUGUAGGCGGAGGUUCCAGGUAAAUCCGGUACCUUGUUAACGCUGAGGUGUGAUGACGAGGCACUACGGUGCUGAAGUGAUAAAUGCCCUGCUUCCAGGAAAAGCCUCUAAGCAUCAGGUAACACGAAAUCGUACCCCAAACCGACACAGGUGGUCAGGUAGAGAAUACCAAGGCGCUUGAGAGAACUCGGGUGAAGGAACUAGGCAAAAUGGUGCCGUAACUUCGGGAGAAGGCACGCUGAUGUGUAGGUGAAGCCCCUGCGGGUGGAGCUGAAAUCAGUCGAAGAUACCAGCUGGCUGCAACUGUUUAUUAAAAACACAGCACUGUGCAAACACGAAAGUGGACGUAUACGGUGUGACGCCUGCCCGGUGCCGGAAGGUUAAUUGAUGGGGUUAGCGGCAACGCGAAGCUCUUGAUCGAAGCCCCGGUAAACGGCGGCCGUAACUAUAACGGUCCUAAGGUAGCGAAAUUCCUUGUCGGGUAAGUUCCGACCUGCACGAAUGGCGUAAUGAUGGCCAGGCUGUCUCCACCCGAGACUCAGUGAAAUUGAACUCGCUGUGAAGAUGCAGUGUACCCGCGGCAAGACGGAAAGACCCCGUGAACCUUUACUAUAGCUUGACACUGAACACUGGUCCUUGAUGUGUAGGAUAGGUGGGAGGCUUUGAAGCGUGGACGCCAGUCUGCGUGGAGCCGCCCUUGAAAUACCACCCUUUAAUGGCUGGUGUUCUAACGUGGACCCGUAAUCCGGGUUGCGGACAGUGUCUGGUGGGUAGUUUGACUGGGGCGGUCUCCUCCCAAAGAGUAACGGAGG